AUUGAACGCUGGCAGCAGGCUUAACACAUGCAAGUCGAGCGGGGUGAUGGUGCUUGCACUAUCACUUAGCGGCGGACGGGUGAGUAAUGCUUAGGAAUCUGCCUAUUAGUGGGGGACAACAUCUCGAAAGGGAUGCUAAUACCGCAUACGUCCUACGGGAGAAAGCAGGGGAUCACUUGUGACCUUGCGCUAAUAGAUGAGCCUAAGUCGGAUUAGCUAGUUGGUGGGGUAAAGGCCUACCAAGGCGACGAUCUGUAGCGGGUCUGAGAGGAGGAUCCGCCACACAGGGACUGGGACACGGCCCAGACUCCUACGGGAGGAAGCAGUGGGGAAUAUUGGACAAUGGGGGGAACCCUGAUCCAGCCAUGCCGCGUGUGUGAAGAAGGCCUUAUUGUUGUAAAGCACUUUAAGCGAGGAGGAGGCUCUUUUGGUUAAUACCCAAGAUGAGUGGACGUUACUCGCAGAAUAAGCACCGGCUAACUCUGUGCCAGCAGCCGCCGUAA
This 503-nucleotide ribosomal RNA is filed under the name uncultured bacterium. RNAcentral describes it as "partial 16S ribosomal RNA". It matches the Rfam family "Bacterial small subunit ribosomal RNA", at positions 30 to 523 of the family's 1533-position model. The record is from RNAcentral.